Molecule: unclassified non-coding RNA, 240 nt
Filed under: soil metagenome
Description: partial contains 5.8S ribosomal RNA, internal transcribed spacer 2, and large subunit ribosomal RNA
Source: RNAcentral
AAGACUAUAGACCUGCGGAGUACCUGCGGAGGGAUCAUUACAGAGUUCAUGCCCGCACGGGUAGAUCUCCCACCCUUGAAUACCUAUACCGUUGUUGCUUUGGCGGGCCGCCUCGGCUACCGGCUCAAGCUGGUAAGUGCCCGCCAGAGGACCCCUAAACUCGUAAAUAUCAGUGUUGUCUGAGUACGAUAUAAUAGUUAAAACUUUCAACAACGGAUCUCUAGAUCGGAAGAGCACACG